Molecule: ribosomal RNA, 552 nt
Filed under: Neogloboquadrina pachyderma
Lineage: Eukaryota; Foraminifera; Rotaliida; Globorotaliidae
Description: SSU rRNA
Rfam family: Eukaryotic small subunit ribosomal RNA
Source: RNAcentral
GCACCACAAGAACGCGUGGAGCAUGUGGCUUAAUUUGACUCAACGCGGGAAAUCUUACCGGGUCCGGACACACUGAGGAUUGACAGGCAAUAUCUUGGCUGUUUAAUAACCGUUUAUUAAUAAACGGUUUAUUAAACAGAUCGAGUGUUAAAUAUGCUAGUCCUUUCAUGAUUAUGUGAUAGGUGGUGCAUGGCCGUUCUUAGUUCGUGGAGUGAUCUGUCUGCUUAAUUGCGUUUCACUAAGGGCCCAUAAAUACAAGGUAUGUUAGCAAUCGUCGCUCUAUGGACCCCUUAUUUCAGUUUAUUAAUAAACUGUUAUAAGCGCGCGUCUUGUUUAAAGAGUUUAAGACACUGCGCAUGCUGUUGGGCUCUGAAAGCAACGAACGUGACCGCAACGUCUUGUUGCCUUAAUCAAGUCGGCUGUUUAAUCUGUUUAAUUAAACAGACAGACAGCAGUCAUUAUAUGGCUUAUCCGAGGCUAUUUAAAACUAGACGAACCGCUGUUUCUUUUCUUAAACCAGAGGAAGGUUGCGGCAAUAACAGGUCUGUGAUG